Long non-coding RNA from Oncorhynchus keta (chum salmon), 648 nucleotides. RefSeq lists it as uncharacterized. The record is from RefSeq and is a predicted model, not a curated record. Lineage: Eukaryota; Metazoa; Chordata; Actinopteri; Salmoniformes; Salmonidae. The transcript has 3 exons.
UUUAACCAGGUAGGCCAGUUGAGAACACCUUUAUUUAACCAGGUAGGCUAGUUGAGAACACCUUUAUUUAACCAGGUAGGCUAGUUGAGAACAGCUUUAUUUAACCAGGUUGGCUAGUUGAGAACACCUUUAUUUAACCAUGUAGGCUAGUUGAGAACACCUUUAUUUAACCAGGUUGGCUAGUUGAGAACACCUUUAUUUAACCAGGUAGGCUCGUUGAGAACACCUUUAUUUAACCAGGUAGGCUAGUUGAGAACACCUUUAUUUAACCAGGUAGGCUAGUUGAGAACACCUUUAUUUAACCAGGUAGGCUAGUUGAGAACACCUUUAUUUAACCAGGUAGGCUAGUUGAGAACACCUUUACUUAACCAGGUAGGCUAGUUGAGAACACCUUUAUUUAACCAGGUAGGCUAGUUGAGAACACCUUUAUUUAACCAGGUAGGCUAGUUGAGAACACCUUUAUUUAACCAGGUAGGCUAGUUGAGAACACCUUUACUUAACCAGGUAGGCUAGUUGAGAACACCUUUAUUUAACCAGGUAGGCUAGUUGAGAACACCUUUAUUUAACCAGGUAGGCUAGUUGAGAACACCUUUAUUUAACCAGGUAGGCUAGUUGAGAACACCUUUACUUAACCAGGUAGGCUAGUUG